GGUUAAGCGAACAAGCGUACACGGUGGAUGCCCUGGCAGUCAGAGGCGAUGAAGGACGUGCUAAUCUGCGAAAAGCGCCGGUAAGGUGAUAUGAACCGUUAUAACCGGCGAUGUCCGAAUGGGGAAACCCGGUGCACUUCGGUGCAUCAUCGUUAGCUGAAUACAUAGGCUAACGAGGCGAACCGGGGGAACUGAAACAUCUAAGUACCCCGAGGAAAAGAAAUCAACCGAGAUUCCCCCAGUAGCGGCGAGCGAACGGGGAACAGCCCAGAGCCUGAAUCAGCUUGUGUGUCAGUGGAACGGUCUGGAAAGGCCGGCGAUACAGGGUGACAGCCCCGUACACGAAGGCACACAGGCUGUGAGCUCGAUGAGUAGGGCGGGACACGUGAUAUCCUGUCUGAAGAUGGGGGGACCAUCCUCCAAGGCUAAAUACUCCUGACUGACCGAUAGUGAACCAGUACCGUGAGGGAAAGGCGAAAAGAACCCCGGCGAGGGGAGUGAAACAGAACCUGAAACCGUGUACGUACAAGCAGUGGGAGCCUUCGUAAGAGGGUGACUGCGUACCUUUUGUAUAAUGGGUCAGCGACUUAUAUUCUGUAGCAAGGUUAACCGUAUAGGGGAGCCGAAGGGAAACCGAGUCUUAAUUGGGCGUUAAGUUGCAGGGUAUAGACCCGAAACCCGGUGAUCUAGCCAUGGGCAGGUUGAAGGUUGGGUAACACUAACUGGAGGACCGAACCGACUAAUGUUGAAAAAUUAGCGGAUGACCUGUGGCUGGGGGUGAAAGGCCAAUCAAACCGGGAGAUAGCUGGUUCUCCCCGAAAGCUAUUUAGGUAGCGCCUCGUGAACUCAUCUCCGGGGGUAGAGCACUGUUUCGGCUAGGGGGCCAUCCCGGCUUACCAACCCGAUGCAAACUGCGAAUACCGGAGAAUGUUAUCACGGGAGACACACGGCGGGUGCUAACGUCCGUCGUGAAGAGGGAAACAACCCAGACCGCCAGCUAAGGUCCCAAAGUCAUGGUUAAGUGGGAAACGAUGUGGGAAGGCCCAGACAGCCAGGAUGUUGGCUUAGAAGCAGCCAUCAUUUAAAGAAAGCGUAAUAGCUCACUGGUCGAGUCGGCCUGCGCGGAAGAUGUAACGGGGCUAAACCAUGCACCGAAGCUGCGGCAGCGACACUAUGUGUUGUUGGGUAGGGGAGCGUUCUGUAAGCCUGUGAAGGUGUGCUGUGAGGCAUGCUGGAGGUAUCAGAAGUGCGAAUGCUGACAUAAGUAACGAUAAAGCGGGUGAAAAGCCCGCUCGCCGGAAGACCAAGGGUUCCUGUCCAACGUUAAUCGGGGCAGGGUGAGUCGACCCCUAAGGCGAGGCCGAAAGGCGUAGUCGAUGGGAAACAGGUUAAUAUUCCUGUACUUGGUGUUACUGCGAAGGGGGGACGGAGAAGGCUAUGUCGGCCGGGCGACGGUUGUCCCGGUUUAAGCGUGUAGGCUGACUUUCCAGGCAAAUCCGGAAGGUUAAGGCUGAGGCGUGAUGACGAGGCACCACGGUGCUGAAGUGACAAAUGCCCUGCUUCCAGGAAAAGCCUCUAAGCAUCAGGUAACAUCAAAUCGUACCCCAAACCGACACAGGUGGUCAGGUAGAGAAUACCAAGGCGCUUGAGAGAACUCGGGUGAAGGAACUAGGCAAAAUGGUGCCGUAACUUCGGGAGAAGGCACGCUGACAUGUAGGUGAAGCCCCUGCGGGUGGAGCUGAAGUCAGUCGAAGAUACCAGCUGGCUGCAACUGUUUAUUAAAAACACAGCACUGUGCAAACACGAAAGUGGACGUAUACGGUGUGACGCCUGCCCGGUGCCGGAAGGUUAAUUGAUGGGGUUAUCGCAAGAGAAGCUCCUGAUCGAAGCCCCGGUAAACGGCGGCCGUAACUAUAACGGUCCUAAGGUAGCGAAAUUCCUUGUCGGGUAAGUUCCGACCUGCACGAAUGGCGUAAUGAUGGCCAGGCUGUCUCCACCCGAGACUCAGUGAAAUUGAACUCGCUGUGAAGAUGCAGUGUACCCGCGGCAAGACGGAAAGACCCCGUGAACCUUUACUACAGCUUGACACUGAACAUUGAGCCUUGAUGUGUAGGAUAGGUGGGAGGCUUUGAAGCGUG
This 2138-nucleotide ribosomal RNA is filed under the name Cronobacter sakazakii. RNAcentral's name for it is "partial 23S ribosomal RNA". It matches the Rfam family "Bacterial large subunit ribosomal RNA", at positions 1 to 2166 of the family's 2925-position model. The record is from RNAcentral. Lineage: Bacteria; Pseudomonadati; Pseudomonadota; Gammaproteobacteria; Enterobacterales; Enterobacteriaceae.